Molecule: ribosomal RNA, 755 nt
Filed under: uncultured bacterium
Lineage: Bacteria
Description: bacterial SSU rRNA
Rfam family: Bacterial small subunit ribosomal RNA
Source: RNAcentral
AGAGUUUGAUCCUGGCUCAGAAUCAACGCUGGCGGCGCGCUUAACACAUGCAAGUCGAACGAGAAAGGGGAGCAAUCCCUGAGUACAGUGGCGUACGGGUGAGUAACACGUGGGUAUUUACACUUUAGUGGGGAAUAACUCUGGGAAACCGGAGCUAAUACCGCAUAAGCCUGAGAAGGGAAAGCCGCAAGGCGCUGAAGAAGGAGCCCGCGGCCGAUUAGCUAGUUGGUAGGGUAACGGCCUACCAAGGCGGUGAUCGGUAGCCGGCCUGAGAGGGCACACGGCCACACUGGCACUGAAACACGGGCCAGACUCCUACGGGAGGCAGCAGUGGGGAAUCUUGCACAAUGGAGGCAACUCUGAUGCAGCGACGCCGCGUGAGCGAUGAAGCCCUUCGGGGUGUAAAGCUCUUUCGACGGGAACGAUAAUGACGGUACCCGGAGAAGAAGCUGCGGCUAACUACGUGCCAGCAGCCGCGGUAAUACGUAGGCAGCAAGCGUUGUUCGGAAUUACUGGGCGUAAAGAGUGUGUAGGCGGUGCUCUAAGUUCGUUGUGAAAUCUCCCGGCUUAACUGGGAGGGUGCGGCGGAAACUGGAGUGCUCGAGCGUGGGAGAGGAAAGCGGAAUUCCUGGUGUAGCGGUGAAAUGCGUAGAUAUCAGGAGGAACACCUGUGGUGUAGACAGUUUUCUGGACCAUAGCUGACGCUGAGACACGAAAGCGUGGGUAGCAAACAGGAUUAGAUACCCUGGUAGUCC